GACAGAGGGUGCAAACGUUGUUCGGAAUCACUGGGCUUAAAGCGCGUGUAGGCGGGCCAGCACGUCGGGCGCUGAAAUCCCCCGGCUCAACCGGGGAACGGGCACCGAUACGACUGGCCUGGAGGGGAGUAGGGGGACCUGGAACUUCCGGUGGAGCGGUGAAAUGCGUUGAGAUCGGAAGGAACGCCCGUGGCGAAAGCGAGGUCCUGGGCUCUUACUGACGCUGAGACGCGAAAGCCAGGGGAGCGAACGGGG
This 255-nucleotide ribosomal RNA is filed under the name uncultured bacterium. Its description in RNAcentral is "partial 16S ribosomal RNA". It matches the Rfam family "Bacterial small subunit ribosomal RNA", at positions 524 to 777 of the family's 1533-position model. The record is from RNAcentral.